UCCAGGGUGUGGGAAACGGGGAGGGGUUUGAGGAGGGGAUCGGAAUGUGGCUCAAGUUCGGGAGGCGUUACCUGCGGAGGGUUUGAGGCAGGCCCAAGAGCGAGCCCAUGGUCUUCCGACGCGGGGCCAGGGGCGGGCCCCAGGAUCCGGAGCUUCGUGCGGGGCCGAGUCCAGGUUUGGGGCCCGGGAGGCGGGGCCAGUUAGGGCGACUGUCCCUGGGAUCGUCGGGUCAGGCCUUGGGCUAACGUAGGCACUCUCGCAGUUCCUCCGCCUUCAGGAAGGUCUUUUCAGCAGGGGCCUUACGGGUGCAUGCUUCGGUCCUGGAGGCCUUAUCCUAGCCUCCUCUCCAUCAGCGCCACCCGUCUGGGGCCCGAAAGGAGGGAGCUUUCCCUCUGUCCCCCAGCCUUUGGACUGUCACCAAACAAGCCAUUCGUUCAUCAAAUACUUUUUAAGCGCCUACCAUGUGCCUGACAAGGGAGAUGUAACGGUGAGAAAAACUAGGUGUGGUCCAGGCCCUUCAGGGGCUCAGGUGCUCGUGGAAGAAGUGGACAUUGAAGUACUUAUCACACAAAUGAGGAUAAAAGUACGAUAGCGAUAUCUACCACGAAGCUGUUGUUCCCCACCAGAACCAAAUGAGCGCAAGAUCUGACAAAGAAAAAAAAAGGUUCAUCUUUUAUUCCUCCAAACACUUUCAUUUAAAUCAAGAGGAUGGGAUGUGGUUAUUGCUGUGUUUUUAGACAGAAUCAACGGUUUCUGGGUCUGAGAUGUUGCAUACACCUUCUCAGUCCCUGUAUCCUGAGAUGGAGUCACCUGAGAAUCCACAGCAAGUCCUAACCAGGGAUGGGUCUGGGUGAUUAAGGAAGGUUGGCUUCAGAACUGGGCCAGGGGCACUGCUUUGCUUUUGCUGUUUUGAUCAGCUCUCUGCCUGAAGGAGACAAGAAAAACCAACGGGAACAGCCCAGUAAAGGCGCCAUUCCCCAUUUUACAGCUGGGGAAACUGAGUUACAGAGCUUGUCUGCACUGAGUCAUCAGGAGCAAAUGCUAGAUCAGAUAGGGUCUCUCUCUCUGCCACCCAGGCCAGAGUGCAGUUGACGCAGGGCAGGGGAGCCCCGAAGUGGAGCAUAGUGUGUCCGGAACUGGUGGGUUCUUGGUCUCACUGACUUCAAGAAAGAAGCCGCGGACCCUCGCGGUGAGUGUCACAGUUCUUAAAGGCUGCGUGUCCAGAGUUUGUUCCUUCUGAUGCUCGGAUGUGUUCAGAGUUUCUUCCUUCUGGUGGUUUUGUGGUCUCGCUGGCUUCAGGAGUGAAGCUGCAGACCUUCAAGAAAUGAGGCUUCUCCCCAGGACCAGCAUUCCACGAAGGCAGCCCUUUUCUAGAUGGAGAAAACAGAACCUGAAGACACCCGUUUCCCUAAACUGCUCUCGCUCAUGUUUCUACAAGGCCUGGAGCUGAUAGGAAAAACCUCCCUUCUUUCCCAAAUGGUCCCCAGCUGCCCCGUUCACUGAAGGCCCUGCAGUCAGGAACGGUCAGGACUUCACACCCAGUUGUUGUGGGUGUUUGGCCGACACGACACUUCCUCUUGUGUGAUUCAUGGACCCGCAGCAUUGCGUCACCUGGGAGCUUUUGGUAUUGAAGACUCUCAGGGCUCACCCGGAAGGACCUGCUGGGCCAGAAUCUACAUUUUAACAAGAUGCCCAGAAACUCCUGGAGGGCAGAGGCAUGCCUGCCAUCUUCAUCAUUGCAUUACCACCACCCAACACUAUCGGGGGACCUGCCCUGAUAAUCAGUCUACAGGUGUAUCCAGCAGCUCCAGAGAGACAGCGACCAGCGAGAAGGGGCCAUGAUGAUGGAGGUGGUUUUGUCAAAACGAAAAUGGGGAUAUGUAGGGAAAAGAAAGAGAGAUCAGACUGUUACUGUGUCUACAUAGAAAGGGAAGACAUAAGAGACUCCAUUUUGAAAAAGACCUGUACUUUAAACAAUUGCUUUGCUGAGAUGUUGUUAAUCUGUAGCUUUGCCCCAGCCACUUUGCCCCAACCACUUUGACCCAAUCUGGAGCUCAUAAAAACAUGUGUUGUAUGAAAUCAAGGUUUAAGGCAUGUAGGGCUGUGCAGGACGUGCCUUGUUAACCAAAUGUUUGCAAGCAGUAUACUUGGUAAAAGUCAUCACCAUUCUCUCAUCUCAAUAAACCAGGGGCACAAUGCACUGUGGAAAGCCGCAGGGACCUCUGCCCUUGAAAGCUGGGUAUUGUCCAAAGUUCCUCCCCAUGUGAUAGUCUGAAAUAUGGCCUCGUGGGAUGAGAAAGACCUGACGGUCCCCCAGCGCGACACCCAUAAAAGAUCUGUGCUGAGGUGGAUUAGUCAAAGAGGAAAGACUUGCAGUUGAGAUAGAGGAAGGCCACUGUCUCCUGACUGCCCCUGGGAACUGAAUGUCUCGGUAUAAAACACGAUUGUACAUUUGUUCAGUUCUGAGAUGGGAGAAAAACCGCCCUAUGGUGGGAGGCGAGACAUGUUUACAGCAAUGCUGCCUUGUUAUCCUUUACUCCACUGAGAUGUCUGGGUGGAGAGAAACAUAAAUCUGGCUUACAUGCACGUCCAGUCAUAGUACCUUCCCUUGAACUUCAUUAUGACAUGGAUUCUAUUGCUCACGUUUGUUGCUGACCUUCUCCUUAUUAUCACCCUGCCCUCCUACUACAUUCCUUUUUGCUGAAAUAAUGAAGAUAAUAAUCAAUAAAAACUGAGGGAAUUCA
RNAcentral lists this long non-coding RNA (2744 nucleotides) under Homo sapiens (human). RNAcentral describes it as "HSALNT0345316". Lineage: Eukaryota; Metazoa; Chordata; Mammalia; Primates; Hominidae. The record is from RNAcentral.